Molecule: ribosomal RNA, 259 nt
Filed under: Campylobacter coli
Lineage: Bacteria; Pseudomonadati; Campylobacterota; Epsilonproteobacteria; Campylobacterales; Campylobacteraceae
Description: partial 23S ribosomal RNA
Rfam family: Bacterial large subunit ribosomal RNA
Source: RNAcentral
CGAAGCCCGAGUAAACGGCGGCCGUAACUAUAACGGUCCUAAGGUAGCGAAAUUCCUUGUCGGUUAAAUACCGACCUGCAUGAAUGGCGUAACGAGAUGGGAGCUGUCUCAAAGAGGGAUCCAGUGAAAUUGUAGUGGAGGUGAAAAUUCCUCCUACCCGCGGCAAGACGGAGAGACCCCGUGGACCUUUACUACAGCUUGACACUGCUAUUUGGAUAAGAAUGUGCAGGAUAGGUGGGAGGCUUUGAGUAUAUGACGC